RNAcentral lists this ribosomal RNA (525 nucleotides) under uncultured archaeon. RNAcentral's name for it is "bacterial SSU rRNA". It matches the Rfam family "Archaeal small subunit ribosomal RNA", at positions 474 to 997 of the family's 1478-position model. The record is from RNAcentral.
UACCAGCUCUUCGAGUGGUGUGGAUGUUAUUGGGCCUAAAGCAUCCGUAGCUGGCUAGGUCAGUCCCUUGUAAAUCCACCGAAUUAAUCGUUGGAUCGCGGGGGGAUACUGCUUGGGCUAGGGGACGAGAGAGGCAGACGGUAUUUUCGGGGUAGGGGUGAAAUCCUAUAAUCCCGGGAAGACCACCAGUGGCGAAGGCUGUCUGCUAGAACGCGCCCGACGGUGAGGGAUGAAAGCUGGGGGAGCGAACCGGAUUAGAUACCCGGGUAGUCCCAGCUGUAAACGAUGCAGACUAGGUGUUUGGACGGCCACGUGCCGUUCUAGUGCCGCAGGGAAGCUGUUAAGUCUGCCGCCUGGGGAGUACGAUCGCAAGAUUGAAACUUAAAGGAAUUGGCGGGGGAGCACCACAAGGGGUGAAGCUUGCGGUUUAAUUGGAGUCAACGCCGGAAAUCUCACCGGGAGCGACAGCAGUAUGAAAGCCAGAUUGAAGGUCUUGCUAGACGAGCUGAGAGGAGAGGUGCAUGG